CCCACAUUCCUUUCUUCUGUUUAUUCAUUUGACAGAUACCUACUGAGUUCCCGCUCUGUGUGAGGUCGGGGGUGGAGUCUGGGGAGAAGGAAAUAAGCCAGGAACCUGCGUUUGCCGAUGUGAUGGUGUGAAGUGGUGACUGGCCUGAGGGCCCCUCCUUAUGGGAUUAGUGCCCCCAGAAAGAGCCUUAUCGGGGGUCUGUCCCUCCCGCCAUUGCCUCCUGAGGACCCGCAUUUCUCCCUCCAGGGGACACUGCACGCCAGGCACCGUCUUGGGUAGAGAGCAGCCCUCACCAAAUGCGGGUGCCUUGGCCUUGGACUUUCAGCCCCCAGCACUGUGAGAAGUUCUCUCUCCUUUGGGACCAAGGUGGAGUCUUGCUUCUCCGUGGGCAUGUGAGGGUGAGUGAAACCACGACACUUCUCUGCAUGGUGCUCGUCUGUGUUCUCCGGAGAGGCCGCUACUUGCCGGGGCCCUACAAUCAGGACGAUGAUGACGGAUGCCGGCUCCCACCAGCGAGGUCACGUGUCCAGGCCGUGAUGUCGUGAAGGCUGGGAGAUGCUGGCACCGCUCACCGGGGUGGUAAACUCUCUGCUGCAACAGGGUCUACCCUCAUCAGCUGGGCCUCAUCUUAACCAACUCCACCUGCAAAGGCCCUGUUUCCAGAUGAGGCCGCAGCCUGAGGUUCUGGGUGGACACCAUUCUACCCAGUACCACCCUCUGACCUGUGGGAGGAGCCCAGGCCUGCCGGGAGGCGGGUGCACACUCACAGAACGUGCAGCGCAGGUGUGCACUCUAGAGCCCACCUCAGUGCUGAGGUCGACGUCACCCCCGGGCUCUUGGGCCGUGGCCAACGGCAGGCCAUCUGCGAGAACAGAGACGAGGGCUUGGAUCAGUUUCUGUCUGAGUUGGCGCCUUCCCAGGCUGGCUGUUGGCUCUGCUCCCUUCUGGGACCUGUUGGGAUGAGCAGAUCAGGGAGUAUUUUGAGCCGAAAGGAAUUCAGCCUCUGAAUCCCUCCUGGGCCUGGGGUGGAGCAGGGUGAACACAUACGGAAGCGUAAACACAGCGGGCCGACUUCAGCCUGCAGCUCAGCCCUGCGGUCUCCUGGGCAACGCGCUGCGUGGGGACAUUGUCUCUCACCUGAAAAGCUGCUUACGGGCCCCCACCUCGUCGUGGGUUUAAAGCGGAUUAAUGGGAGGGUUGGUGGUUCUGGGGCUGGCAGGGCUUCCCAGCAGGGGCAGCCCCUUCAUGUGGUGGCGAGCUUGGUAGUGACAACAGGCAGGCCGCUGUGCCCCGGGUGGGUGGCUGGAGCUGGGCGUGGGGUGUCUCCCCGUGAGGACUGUCUGCCCUGCCCGCUGCUCACAAGCCUUCUGCGUUUCCCACCACGCUCUCCUCACCUUCUACUGGGAGGAAGGUCCCAGGGCACGGGAGGGACCCUGUCUAGAGUGGAGCUGGGCUGCCCCAUCUCAGGUCAUGGGUCACGGCUGCCCCAUCUCAGGUGACGGCAGCCCCCUUCAGGUGAAGGCCAAGGCGCGGCUCUUCUCCUCCCAGCCUGAAGCAGAUCCUGUUGUCUGCAAGUACCCAGCAUCCGAUGGCUUCUCACGGCCUCCACCCCGGCCACCUGGUCCGAGACACUGCUGUCUCCGGCCUGGACUGGUGCAGUAGCCAGCAGCUGCUGCUCUCGCCCUCUAUGGGGCAGCCUCACACGGCCCGUGGUGCCCCUGCUGGUGCUCAGUCCUUGUGCGCUCCCUCCCUUGAGCAUGUGCGGGACCUGUGGUUUAUCUCAAAUGAAUAGAAAAUGGCAAAAGCAAUGGGGUGUCACUUCCAAAUCUGGUCGCGGAAAGACCCUGGUCUAUCUUGCUCAUCCCUCUCACCCUCUCCCACGGUCUGGUGAAACCAGUGGCUGUGCCGAGAGCUGCCAUGGGGCAAGAGACUGAGGGCGGCUUCCAGCUAAACGCCAGUGAGGAGCUGAGGCCCUGAAGAACUGAAUCCCGCCCAGAACUACAUGCCUGAGCUCGGAGCCAUUUCUUCCCCAUGGGAGAUGAGACCCCUGCCCAGCUGAGUCCGGAUUGCAGCCUGUGAGACCCUGAGCCUGCGGAUCCAGCCAAGCCAUACCUGAUCCUUGAUCUAAGGAAAAUGGGAGCUGAUAAGUGUGUGCUGUUUUCAGCUGCCAAGUGUGGGACCCUUUGUGAUGCUGGAGUCAGUAGAUGCCGCAGGCUCACCCCGCCCUCUCCUCCCAGCCAGCAUGAUUAUGUCAAGACCAGAUCAGCUCACAGCACUUCCCUGCUCAUGGCUCCUAGUGUCUCAACAGCCCCAGGCCCUGCCCCAUUUGUCACCUCCCAGCCACCCACCCCAGGCCCUGCACUGUUCGUCACCCCCUGGCCACUGCCUGCUCCCCAGGCCUGCCCUGUUCAUCACCCCCCCAACAGGCCUUGAACCAUUCAUCACCCCCCGGCCACCAGCCCCAG
This 2465-nucleotide long non-coding RNA is filed under the name Homo sapiens (human). RNAcentral describes it as "HSALNT0371927". Lineage: Eukaryota; Metazoa; Chordata; Mammalia; Primates; Hominidae. The record is from RNAcentral.